AGGGAUUAGUGGCGAACGGGUGAGUAACACGUGAGAAAUCUGCCCUUCACUCUGGAAUAACUCCGGGAAACCGGAGCUAAUACCGGAUACUCAAAUCUGGCGGCAUCGCUGGACUUGGAAAGUUUUUCGGUGAAGGAUGAUCUCGCGGCCUAUCAGCUUGUUGGUGAGGUAACGGCUCACCAAGGCUACGACGGGUAACCGGCCUGAGAGGGCGAACGGUCACACUGGGACUGAGACACGGCCCAGACUCC
Molecule: ribosomal RNA, 251 nt
Filed under: uncultured Actinomycetales bacterium
Lineage: Bacteria; Bacillati; Actinomycetota; Actinomycetes; Actinomycetales
Description: partial 16S ribosomal RNA
Rfam family: Bacterial small subunit ribosomal RNA
Source: RNAcentral